GCAUUGGUGGUUCAGUGGUAGAAUUCUUGCCUAACGUUGAGGAGACCCAGGCUGGAUUCCUGGCCAGUACA
This 71-nucleotide transfer RNA is filed under the name Loxodonta africana (African savanna elephant). It matches the Rfam family "tRNA". From Rfam's summary of the family: Transfer RNA (tRNA) molecules are approximately 80 nucleotides in length. The record is from Rfam by way of RNAcentral. Lineage: Eukaryota; Metazoa; Chordata; Mammalia; Proboscidea; Elephantidae.